This 979-nucleotide long non-coding RNA is filed under the name Helianthus annuus (common sunflower). Its description in RNAcentral is "sRNA HanXRQr2_Chr17g0808861". The record is from RNAcentral. Lineage: Eukaryota; Viridiplantae; Streptophyta; Magnoliopsida; Asterales; Asteraceae.
CCCCACCCAAAAUCCAUGUCAUAAAACUUGAGCUUUGGUGUUCCAGCUACCCAGAUCAUUGUUGUCGGAACCCCAUUGGGAAACAAGUCCUCGAAGGAUUCUAUUUCUUUAACAACUCCAUCCUUAUCUGUCAAAGUCUUAUGUAGACUUUCUCCUAUUAAUUUUGCUGCGGUUACGAACCCUUCUUUACUUCUUAACUGUAUGGUGUUUUCCAUAGCAACACACGGUCCAACACAGUUACCGAAGUAGGCUGCUGGGAUCACGGGAUUCAAUCGUGCCCUACAAUCAACGGCGAUACCAAAUAGUUGCAGCUCAUCCUUGCUUGUUUUCGCUAUGCAACUCCACAUAUAACCACAUGCUACCGUAAAGGAUGAUACAUAUGCUAAUGUCGUUAGUUGUGUUGAAACCAAUUUUUUCAACCUAUUAAGCAUAGCUCGAGGCAAUAUAAAGGUGGCUCGAACUUUAUCAGUUGGUCCACAUAGUUUUGGAGGUUGGUACUCUUCUUUAGAGUUUUCAACGUCCCCAAACUUCAGAUAACAUUCAUCUAGUUUAGGGUUUUGGAUUGGUCUUUCGUAAAACGGUAAAGUUCCAUUAGCUAGAAAUAACUCAUCCGUACCACAUCGAGCAAUUGUUGUCCAUGCCUUCAAGAAACAGAACCUGGUGCUAGCAUCACCUAGACAAUGGUGAUUUGUCAUUCCGAUGGAGAAUCCAGAGUUUGGAAAAAGUGUCACUUGAACGGUAAACACCGGGAUCUUUGUAAAAUUUGAGGUUUUAUGAGCCUGACCCAGUAGAGGUAUAAGAUGGUAAAACAUCUCACAAUCUCGGGGAUGGUUUCCAAGUGAUGGAUAACGAGUGUUUGAGAUUAGGAAUAAUAUUAUCGAUGAAUUUAGUGUGUGUGAUUGGCAUCUCAUAAAAGAAUAGAUAGUGAACAGGAGGUUGGCUUACCCACAUGAAGUCAAAGUAAGUCAGUGGCAACACC